UCUGUGCGCCCCUUUUAUAACCAUUGUUUAGGUCUGUGAGUCAAUGGCCCCUUCGGGAUAUAUAAAAUAAUAAUAAAGGUAGUAAUGUUCAGAGAUGCACAGAAUCAUGACAAUGCAGUUCUUUACUGUAGGAAAUAUAUAUUUUUUCCUUAUUUUUACUUUAUGUUGAUGUACUCGGUUAUUCAAUUUAUUACAUUAUUUUAAUUAGCUUUUCCUGCCAAGCUGCUGCGGUCACCCUAGCACCCUCUUGCGGCCCCGCAGGGGUCCCUGACCCCCACUUUGAAAACCACUGGUUUAGGCUAUGCAAGGUUUGAGACAGUAUUUGUUUUUAGUGAUAUGUCAUAAAUAUUUUGUGUGAUAUUUAUUCUCAUCUAAAUCUCAUCUCAUGUUUUUGAACAGUGGUGGGUAGCCACCCAUGCACGUUGACACAGCCAGCAGCGAGUACCCAGGGCGAUGGACCCAGAAGUGGAGGAUGAUCCAAUAGGUGUGAGGAAAAGACGCAUACUAGAGGGAGUCGAGGACUUGGCUGGCCUACAAAAUGUCACUAAGGGAUGCAACUGACAGCUGAAGUAGGAUCUUUUUUGUUUUUUGGCCAUGACAAUGCUUUGACAGUUGAUAAUAAACUGAUAAUUACGAUA
Long non-coding RNA from Engraulis encrasicolus (European anchovy), 638 nucleotides. RefSeq lists it as uncharacterized. Lineage: Eukaryota; Metazoa; Chordata; Actinopteri; Clupeiformes; Engraulidae. The record is from RefSeq and is a predicted model, not a curated record. The transcript is spliced from 2 exons.